GUUGUUGUUGCUGUUGUUGUUUUUAAACUAGCUUUUAGCUUACUAAAAAGUUUACUACUGCUAAUUUGUGUAUGUGAACUAAGCCAUAAGACCACACAGAUAAAAACCAUAGAGGCAGAAUUUGUUACUCUUCAUGCUGUGCAUAAAUUGUUGCUGACAGGCUUUUUGAAUGGUAUUAUCCUCUAAACAUCCUUCAGAGAAACUGGUGUGUGACAAUAGCAAAAGAUUUGGAUUCUGCUUCAUACUAGCUGUGUGACAGGUCUCUUUUGCAUGUUGGAGAAGUCAGAGGCAGACACCCCCGCUCCGGGACAGAAGAAGGCGGUGAGACAGCGAAGUCAGAGAGUGCCAGUCGCCAGUGGAGAUGCUGGGGCUGACUUCGUCACGGAGACGGUCUGGUGUCUGACUCAGCGUGCUGUGUGAAGCCUUCCAUGGAGCCUGACCCAUUUCCAGCCUUCUCAGGAGGUUUUCUCAUGAUAGGGAGACCCCCAUGAGACUCCCAAAUCAUGCCAUUUUACUUUUGCACAUGCUGCUUCUUUGGCCUGGAAAAGUCCUCAUCCUCCUGUCACCUUGGGGAAAGAAGCACUCAAGCCUCACUUCCUCCGUAAAGCUUUCCUGCACUCAGCACACCGCCGUGCGCCCCACGUGGUACCGGGGCUCUCUCUCGGUGCUGCUCGUAUAUUGUAGGUGUGGAUGUCGGCUUGCAGUCACCUCGCUGCACUUCAGGUCUUCCUCUGUUUAUGUCUUUCUUUCACUGCUCCGUCAGGCAGGCUUUGCGGUUGAUUCCUCUUCAUAUGUGCUGCACACAGCAGAGACCCUGGCAGAUUGGAGGCCCCGCUUUAACACAGAAUAGAGGAACAGGACUGUGAGUUAGGCGCUCUGUCUUCUGACACACUUUGAUGAUGUCCUAACGCAGUAGAUCUGUGCCAACUCUGACAUGACCGUGGAGUGAAGAGGGAACAUACUGUAAAAUGCUUUACUUCUGUGGUGGAGAUGCCAGAGAUAUUAUUCUACAGAUGGGAAACUGAGUCCCAGAGAAGCAAACAGACUUGCCUUAAAUUAUGUGACAAGUGGACCUCAGGCAAAACACUCAGCAUGUUGGAUUAUAACCAGUUAUUUCUGCCUUCUGGCUUUCUAAGAAAAUACAGGUAGAAUUUCCUGUUAGAGAAGCAACCCUUCAUAUUUUCAGGAUGGCCGGUUCUCUUUCACCUGUCCAGUUAGCAUUUGCCUCGUCCUGAAGGUGGAACGUGUUCCCUGCUGAGCUGUGGGGUGGAAGAGGAGGUGGGCACCCCUCGUUGCCUAAGAGAUGAGCUGGAUUGGAAUUGAAGCUUUAUUGGCUGGCGAGAACACUCUGCGCUGUUUGCUUGCUCUGUAACUUACAGAAAGCAGUAUCUGGAGAGGAGGCCACGAAGGAAAAGAAAUACUGUGAAAUAUCCAGCCCUGGACAACGCAGCACACAGAAAGGGGAAAUAGAACUUGAGCUGUAAGUCCAAAACAGUCAGUGCAGUCACCGUGAUAGCGCACAACGGGGGCGGAAAGGCUGAAGGAUCCGGAAUGGUACUGACUCCGGGUGCUGCCCAGUCGCCCUCGCUGCUGAACUCAGAGGAACCUGUGUUCCUGCACAGACAGUCUUCAAGCGGCAGAAUCUCUUGCCUACAAGGUUCGCAAAGCAUAUAUUGCUGCUGAUCUGAAACCCACUAGGAGAGGCUGAGCAGGCUGGGGAACUAAACAGGUUUUGUAGAAUGAUGAAUUUUUUGGAAGACCUAACAUAUUCUUGGCACUCGGUGACCUCACUGUUAUUUUUCCAAGUCUUAGUUGUACAGUACACUAGCACAAGGACACGGGAUGCCCGGGUAGGGAAGAAAAGAGACUGGCAAAACUUCUUCAGGUCUUCCCCAGUGGUUACAUCGCUUGGGCUUUGGGCUAAGAGGAGCAGAAAAAGCAAAAAACACUGGCUGAGAGUUUUGAUUGUUUAUUCUAUCCCAGGCCUUCUGCUGAACAUACACACGUUAUCUAGUUUAACCAGUAGACCCACACCAUCCUUCCCUGAGGCUUCUAAGCUUCCCCUUUUAAGAUGAGAAAACAGGGGCUUAGCUAGGUCAGAGAGUGUAGCUGUUAAGAGCCUGUGCUCUGGCUGCAGCCAGACUGUCUGGGUUUGAAUCCCAGGUCCUCUACUUCUGAGCCCUGCGACACUGAGCAAGGGAUUUCACUGCUGACUCAUGUAUAAGAGGAUGUGAAAGUCGUACGUGUCAUUGUGAUGAUUAACUAGCACAAUGCAUACGGAGCACUGGGAAGAAUAUCCCACGCUUAGGAUUUAAUAAAUGUUACUGAUUUUUAUUACACACAAGGUUAUUUCCCCAACUACAAAGAGUGUGGUGGCAGAGACCUGUGUUUCCCUUUCCUGUAUAAGUGUACUGAAUGAGAGAGAGAGGGAGAGAGAGGAUGUGACACGUGACUAGGAAAAGGAGAAGUGAUGUUGCUGAUUAAUUGAUCACUGCUGAGCAGCAGGCAGGUACCAGAAAGGGAACUGGUUCAGCACUUUGCCCCUGGCCCAUUCUUACCAAAUUUGAUGAUUUCUGAUUGCUGCCAGUGACAGCCAAAAUAAGAUAAGACUAGCACAGCGCCUUGUAUUUGCUUUUGUGGGGUCCCGUCACUACUGUCCGCUAGCAGUGUACGUCCCCCACUGGUUGUGGCCUGUCCUGUGCAUCCUUUGCUUUUUGAAAACAAGAGAAAAGAAAGAUGGUUUUUCCGUGUUCCUCAUGAGCAAAUAGCUUCAGGGUGUGGCGGGGGGAUCACCAGUUCCAUUUAGGGUUUGAAGGUGAUGGGCAUUGACAUGUUGAAAGGGAACUGUCUGUGGUGAUUUCCUGGAUAUAAGUCUUUGGACCUGGCUUCAGCUUUUUUUUCUUUUUCCGGUACCGGGAAUCGAACUCACGACCUUGCGCUUGCCGGGCAGGCGCUCUGCUGCUGAGCUGAAUCCCCAGCCCCAAUGGCUUCAGUUCUGACGAAACAUACAGGAAAGCUCUCAUCAGCUGCGUGGACACUUGCGGCUUCCCUCCCAGGAGAGGAGGGAUGAAUUGUGUUUCCUCAGGCUUGCAGCUGCCAGCUGCUGUGCUUCGGGGGCAGCAAAGUCCUAGACUUUCUGCAGGUCACAGGCAGAUUUCAGGGCCGUGGCAGCUGGAAGCCUGCAGCUCAGAAGAGAGUAAAGAAGGAUCUGGGGCUAUGAGGCAGUGCUUCAAAACCAGCACCAGGAUCAAACCUGGAAGGAGCACAGUUUGCCUGACUAAUCAGAAGAUGCACAGAGGAAAACAGCGACAGUGACCUUCACUACGGCUGUCACCUCCCUGUUUGUACAGCGCUCCCGGCUCCUGAGCGCCCUGGAGACUACUGGUGAGGCAGCGUCCUUUUGCAGCGGCUGUGUGCGUGGCUGUGGGCUCCUCCUGUGUGCUCCCUCUGCUCACACUUCACAGAAUCCUGUUCCCAGGACCAGUGUGAUCAGCGGGAACCUUCUUUGGCUUCUCAACCAGCCGAGAAGAAUGGCAGGGCCCUGGCUUUCUUCUCUGCAGUUUUUGUUAGUUCCUUUAUCUUGAUGCUAAAUGUGAAGUCAUUUCCCAGGCUGGUAGAGAAAUCGGCUUGUCUCCUGGAGAAGUGCCCCCAACCCUGCUACCUGCAAGGUAAUCAAGGCCUAUCCAGAGAAAAGUUGCUUUCCUUAAACUGAUUUAUUUUGUGAAAGAGACCUACGCACUGAGACACCCUUAUGCUUGCCAGGGUGAGAGUCUCCAGGAAAUCUCCACAGCUCCUGCUUUUGCACACGAAUGAUUCACCACUACAGCAAUUGCCUUCCCCCUGUAACAUCUAGGGAGAUGGAGGAGUCCAGAAUUUACAGUGGGAUAUAACCACAAAGGGAGAACUCACUGGAAAGGGAGCUCCAAAAAUCCCAAAAUCUCUGUAGUUGCCACAGCUUACAUUUGAGGGCAGCUUUUCAGCACACUGCCAAGGGUGUCAUAAUCAAAGUACAGCCCCUUGCUCAAUUUAGAGGAUAGAAAUAAAUAUCUAGAGAUGGAGGAGACCAGAGUUUGCAGGGCAGAUAACCAUAAAGGGAGAACUCACUGGAAAGGGAGCUCCAAAAACCUACAGAGGGUUCACUGAAUGUCUUUGGCAAAGCAUUACCAGUCUGCACGUGUGUGUAAAGAAGUAAUCGAGAACAGGAAAAGAACUUUCAGAGAUCCCUAAGCUGAACAACACCAGGAGCUCGUAGAAGCUUCUAGUGGAUCAAGCUGAUUUGCCACAAAAUCUAACACUUUUUAAGGAAGAUAAUAAAAUUGAGUACCUAAUAAAAUAGAAUUCAUAAUGCCUGCACAGUAAUUCAAAAAGCAAUUAUUAGAGAUGCCAAGAAAUGUAAAAACAUGAUUUCUAAUAACGGAAAAAUGAAUUAAUAGAAACAGAUUGGGAAGUGAUAGAGAUAAUGGAAUGAGUAGCGAAGGACAUCCCCGAGCUUAUCCUUAAAGAUGGAGAGGAGAACAUACACAGGAUAAUAGAAAACAGAGGACUUGAAAAGUCUCAGACGGGACGUUACAGAGGUGAAAAUACAUGAAAUAAGAAUUAGAGUCCAGUGUGGCAGUGCACACCUGUAAUCUCAGCACUGGAGAGGCUGAGGCACAAGAGUUGCAACAAAUUUGUGGCCGAUCUGGGCUACCUAGUGUGUUCAAAGCCAGCCUGAACUACAUAGUGAGACUGUGUCUCAAAGAAAGGCUGGAUAAGAUUGCCAGAAUAUUCUAUGAUAUGGAGGAGAAGAUCACAUAGCAAUAAAAACUAACCAAAAUGAGCCAUACGUUAAAAAGAAAGACAAGGAAACCAAACCAAAGACACAUUCGCACACUCGUAGACCUCCCGAUGCACUCUGAGGCCAUAGUAAGUCAAGCGACGUAUGUAUAAUUAGAGUCCCAGAAAUGUGACAUGGAGAGAAACAGGAACAUAUCUGAAGAAGUAAUGGUUCAAAAUUAUGUAAAUCUUAUAAAAAAUGUAAACCCAACGAUCUACGAAGCUCAACAAACUCCAAAAAGAAGUACC
Long non-coding RNA from Chinchilla lanigera (long-tailed chinchilla), 5064 nucleotides. RefSeq lists it as uncharacterized. The transcript has 8 exons. The record is from RefSeq and is a predicted model, not a curated record. Lineage: Eukaryota; Metazoa; Chordata; Mammalia; Rodentia; Chinchillidae.